UGCAGAAUGAGCCGGCGAGUUAUGGUAUUGUGCAAGGUUAAGUAGAAAAUACGGAGCCGAAGCGAAAGCGAGUCUUAAAAGGGCGAAAAAGUACAAUGCUGUAGACCCGAAACUGAGUGAUCUAGCCAUGAGCAGGUUGAAGUGUAGGUAACACUACAUGGAGGACCGAACCAGGGUACUAUGUAACGUGCUUGGAUGACUUGUGGUUAGCGGUGAAAUUCCAAUCGAACUCAGAGAUAGCUGGUUCUCCCCGAAAUAGGUUUAGGCCUAGCCUUGAAGAAUUUCCUCUGGAGGUAGAGCACUGAAUGUGGAAUGGCCGCGUCUAGCGGUACUGACUGCAAUCAACCUCCGAAUGCCAGAGUAGUUAGCUUCAGGAGUCAGUUUAUGGGUGAUAACGUCCAUAUGCGAGAGAAAAACAAUUCAGACCACCAGUUAAGGUCCCAAAAUAUAUGUUAAGUGGGAAAGGAUGUGGAGUUGCACGAACAGCUAGGAGGUUGGCUCAGAAGCAGCCAUCCUUUAAAGAGUGCGUAAUAGCUCACUAGUCGAGUGGCUCUGCGCCGAAAAUGUACCGGGGCUAAACAUAUUACCGAAACUGUGGAUUUAUGCGAUAGCAUAAGUGGUAGGGGAGCGUUCUAAGGGCGACGAAGAUAGAUCGAGAGGACUAUUGGAGCGCUUAGAAGUGAGAAUGCCGGUGUGAGUAACGUAAGGUAGGUGAGAAUCCUACCCACUGAUUGACCAAGGAUUCCAGGGUCAAGUUCGUCUACCCUGGGUAAGUCAGGACCUAAGGCGAGGCUGAGAAGCGUAGUCGAUGGACAACAGGUUUAUAUUCCUGUACUAUUUAUAGGACUGAAGGAGUGACAAAGGAAGCUAGUAAGAGCCAUUUAAUGGAUUAUGGUCUAAGCACAAAGACUGAUACAUAGGAAAAUCCGUGAUAUCGAACGGUUGAAGUGUGAUGGCGAAGCAGUCUACGGACAGCGAAGUCUUAUGAGGCUAAACUUUUUAAAAAAGCUUCUAAAGAAAUGCUAUAAAUACCUGUACUAAGAACCAACGCAGGUGGUCAAGGAGAGAAUCCUAAGGUGAGCGAGAGAACUAUGGUUAAGGAACUCGGCACAAUGAUCCCGUAACUUCGGAAUAAGGGAAGGUCUUGAAAAAGACCCGCAGUGAAUAGGCCCAAGCGACUGUUUACCAAAAACACAGGUUUCUGCAAAAGCGUAAGCUGAAGUAUAGGAGCUGACGCCUGCCCAGUGCUGGAAGGUUAAGAUGAUUUGUAAGAUGGACGAAAGUCGAUAACAUCGAAGCAAUGAAUUGAAGCCCCAGUGAACGGCGGCGAUAACUAUAAUCGUCCAAAGGUAGCGAAAUUCCUUGUCAGGUAAGUUCUGACCCGCACGAAAGGCGUAACGAUUUGGGCACUGUCUCAACCAUAGACUCGGUGAAAUCUUAAUACCUGUGAAAAUGCAGGUUACCAGCGACAGGACGGAAAGACCCCAUGGAGCUUUACUGUAGCUUGAUAUUGAAAUCAGGUAGUUAAUGUAGAGGAUAGGUGGUAGACAAUGAAGUUAAGACGCUAGUCUUAAUGGAGUCGACCUUGGAAUACCACCCUUUGACUAUUUGAUUUCUAACUUGCACCCGUAAUCCGGGUGAAGGACAGUGUCUGGUGGGCAGUUUGACUGGGGCGGUCGCCUCCU
RNAcentral lists this ribosomal RNA (1685 nucleotides) under human gut metagenome. RNAcentral's name for it is "bacterial LSU rRNA". It matches the Rfam family "Bacterial large subunit ribosomal RNA", at positions 609 to 2291 of the family's 2925-position model. The record is from RNAcentral.